RNAcentral lists this unclassified non-coding RNA (23 nucleotides) under Chlamydomonas reinhardtii. Its description in RNAcentral is "small RNA Cre_1263". Lineage: Eukaryota; Viridiplantae; Chlorophyta; Chlorophyceae; Chlamydomonadales; Chlamydomonadaceae. The record is from RNAcentral.
CGCGCCGGCUGGAGUCACGUCCA